This 730-nucleotide long non-coding RNA is filed under the name Anas platyrhynchos platyrhynchos (common mallard). RNAcentral's name for it is "lncRNA (ENSAPLG00000021383.1)". Lineage: Eukaryota; Metazoa; Chordata; Aves; Anseriformes; Anatidae. The record is from RNAcentral.
AGGCAGGACUCAGAAACUGGGAUGUGAGCAGGGAGGUGGGGGUGAGCCGGCUCUCUGCCCCUCUAAGCAAAGCCCUCUCUGCCCCAUGCUGCAGGUGCUGGAGUGACCACCCAGGACAUCUGCAGCUCUCCAGGAUUGCAGGAGCAUGCAGGUGGGUCCCAAAAAUUAACGUGUUCUGGGGAAACAGAUGGAAAGAAAGAAGGGGAUUAUUCCCUCACAAUUCCCCCUGUAAACCCCAGGACAGCAGACUCCUCCAGCCUUGGCAUGCAGUUGCUUUUGCCACCCGGCAGUCACUAACUCUUGCCUGGGCAAUCCCUCUGCCUUCUCUCCAGGUAACGACCAGACGCCAGUCCUGUACCUCAACGCUUCCAGUGCCAAGGAGGGGGAAAUAAUUUUCUUUCAGUGUGCCAUUGAUUGGCAGUUUCCUGCUACACGAGUUGUCUUCUGCAAGAAUGGGCUGGAGGAGUUCAGCCUGAAAGCCCAGCAGGGCAAGGUCAUCUAUGCUCUGGUCCUGAACAUCACCUCCAGAAGUGCUGGGACGUACAAGUGUGGGUACCAGCAGAGGAACGAGAGCAACUGGGUGAGGAACUCUGCUCUCAGUGCUCCCCAGACCUUGUCUGUGGCAGGUGCACGUGCUGGUGAGACCACCCAGGACAUCCACAGCUCCCCAGGCAGCAGCCCCUCACACAAGGCCCAGCUCCCUUCCAGAGGUGAGACAUUGCUCAUCAGC